Long non-coding RNA from Chinchilla lanigera (long-tailed chinchilla), 1467 nucleotides. RefSeq lists it as uncharacterized. The record is from RefSeq and is a predicted model, not a curated record. NCBI's taxonomy places the organism in Eukaryota, Metazoa, Chordata, Mammalia, Rodentia, Chinchillidae. The transcript has 5 exons.
GGGGGCAGGAGGGGGAGUGGUCAGCGGGGGGCGGGGGGCGCGGUGGCUUCAGCCGUCCUUCUCCGGGACGCGCUCCUCGUACACGCGCCAGGCAGCCGGGUGCCAGCGCCGGGGGUGUGAGAGUGUGUGUGCAAGUGCGAGCGUGCGCGCGUGAGUGGCAGUGGCCGUGGCUGCCGCCGCCAUCCGGACUGCUCCGGGGGCCCGGCUGCUCCGCGCGUCUGCCCGGGGCUCACGGGGCCCGGGGCGGCUGCUGGUUGGCUCGCGCACCGCCCUCGCCUCCAAUCCCUGGUGCCUGUCCUAAUUUCCUGAUCCAGGGAACCUGCCGGCGCAGCAGCUGUGCGCUCCCUACAGUCUUUACUGUGCCCUCCCGGCAGCCGCCGACUGUAAAUGCAGCAGGAGCAGUUAGCGCUGAUGUAACUCUUGCUGCUGUUGCCCUCGCCUCCCCACUAACGGGGCUGUCGCCGCUGUCUGGGGUGAGGUGCAGCUUCCAGGGACAGCAAACGUCUUUGUGCCGCCCUCUCCUGCGCCCCUCGGAGAGGCUGGCACUCUGAGGCCGAAAAGACUAUCAUAUGAACCAGAGAGGGUAACUGGAACCAAAGAAAUGACUACAGCAUCUAGCUAAAGGCCUGACCUAGGAAAUGAGAAGGAUAUUCAACUCGAUGGAGGGGCCAAGACACAAGCAAUACAUGUACAACUGGGUCAUGAUAAGGAAAAUGCUGUUGAAUUCUCUGUUCAGCCUGAGGUGACGGAAGUGAGCCAUUUUCACCUGUCCUCACCACCACACCUACCUGGCUGCUAUCAGGCGAAGUCCCAACAUGGAGCAUGUUUGUUCAGGGCAAAGAGACAUUCAGCACCACAAGGAGAACAUGAAAGAAAAAGUUCAUUUCAGAAGAACUUGGUGUUAUCAGAAAAGGUCAGCAAAUUGGAAAAUAAUCUUCAUGAAAAGAGAAGUAGAAAUCAUGAAACUGCAGAACUCAGUGACAUUUCCAGAGAAACAAAUUCCUGAUUUCUGAACACAUUUUAUAUCCUGAACUGUUCUAUAGAAAUUAUGCCACUAAUUAAUUGUUAUAAAGCACUCCAAGUGUCACCCAGCAAGUUUCAGUGCUCACAAGUACUUAGCAAGAAUAAGAAUUUCUAAGUUUUCAUGUAAACUCCAUCUAAUGAAGUUCUGGUCAGAGUCACAGAUGAAGACAGAAAAUCCUCUUUCAUCCUUGAACAAACAGGAUAAAUUACAAAAAAGAAAAGGAAGAAGUUAAGAGGAGUACCCAAGAUCUAUUGUUUGGGCCACUUUGGAAGAUACUGUUAAGAGAGAUGACACUAAUAGCUGUAAUUUUUUAAAAAGACAAACUUGCUAGAGUGUGUAAAAAUAAUUCUGGAUGUGGCUUCUUUAACUGUUGACUCUGUGAAUAAUUUUUGGAAAGACAGGUGGGUUACAAAUGGCAAAUAAAUACAUGAAAACAUGUUCAA